Molecule: microRNA precursor, 103 nt
Filed under: Marmota monax (woodchuck)
Lineage: Eukaryota; Metazoa; Chordata; Mammalia; Rodentia; Sciuridae
Source: RNAcentral
AGUGGGAUAGUUGGGUCAAAUGUCGAUUCCAUUCCAACUUUUUAAAGGAAUCUCCAUACUGUUUUCCAAGGUGGUUGCACCAAUUUUCAAUGCCACCAGCAAU